Molecule: RNA transcript, 7216 nt
Organism: Ictalurus punctatus (channel catfish)
Lineage: Eukaryota; Metazoa; Chordata; Actinopteri; Siluriformes; Ictaluridae
Exons: 3
Source: RefSeq, a predicted model, not a curated record
UAGUUUAAUCUGAAAUGGGUUGUUUUCAGUCAGAUUUCCGUUCGUAGUUAAGGUCUGGACGGAUUUACUUGUUAAAAAAAGCUUCGAGAAGUUGCUACAAGUGGUAGCAUUGCUGUGCUGAGCUAUCGCUGGGCGAGCCGUUAGCGUCGCGCGCGCGCACGGACUGCGCGAGGCGUGCGGCGCGAGAUGUCUCACGAGCUGUCCGAUCUGAGGGAUUUAAAAAGUUUAAACUCGGAUUAUUAACGGAAUCUAACGGAAAUUUCGUCAAAAUGAACCGACGGCGUGGACGGAUAUUUUAAAGAGUAAAAGAGAGAGAGAGAGAGAAAUAUAUAUCUUUAUAUAUGUAUACAUAUAUCUCGAAAUUCUUGAGGUGAUCUUCACUUUGACGAGUUCUUAAGAGUGGAAACUUGCUCGUGGGAAUCAAUGCGGUUUCAUUCGAAAGGACGUGCGGUCCGAAACUCACCUAAACGUCAGCUCCUAUAUGUCGAAGAAGACCUUGAAGUGAAUCUGGAAGACACCUGAGAAGUUCAUAUUUCUUCUACAUAGCCAAAUCCUUAAUGCUAAACACACACACACACACACACACACACACACACACACACACACACACACACUUUGCUGAAUUAGCACCUACACUGCUAAAUCAUAUUAGUGAAAGAUCAAACACAGUGUUAAAUGAACUAUGUCCUACUUUUGUCUGUUAUUAAAACACUGUAGGUUAUAAUUAAAGUAGCUGUAGGACUUAUUUCAACAUUAUAGGUGGUUUGGUUUAGCUUUGGGAAUUUUCCCACAUUAAUAUUCGGUAAGCAUCGCUCUAUUCCAAAUUUCAGUUGCAGGCUAAAACAAGAUAAGAGUUUGCUAGCCAGAUUUAUGCCCUAGCCUACCUGUUUAGCAAAUGCAGACAUCGACAUGCAAAGAAAACCCAAAAAGGUUCAACGUGUAAUACUUCUCAGAUGCAUCUUUUAUUAUUUACUUUCUCCGGCUUCUCGGCUAGCGUGUGUUUACCAUCCGACCCAUCAUAUUUGGCCACGACUGAAUGAGAGUUCGGCUUCAGGCGGGUGUUUCUCUUCACACAUCAUCUUCUAACUGCUUGUAGAUUCCAGAGACAGCCAAAAGGAAGAGAGAGAGAGAGAAAGGAGAGAUUGAGGAAGAGAAAGAGAGAGAGGCAUUGGGUCAGAGGCCUGAAUGUGAUGACAAACAUGUUGGAGCCAAUAUCGAAAUUUUCCAGCUUUCAGAUGGAUUUUAUUAUUUACAUUCUUUCGCCGUAGUGUGUGUCAUGAAACAUUCAUUUACAGUGCAUUUAUUAAUUUGACACACAUUUUUACAUAUACAAUCACUCAAAAGUAUAAUUUACUGUAAAAUUUGGGCUGUUCAGGGGCCAAACAGAGGCACACUGGGAUUCGAUCUCAUGACCUUCUGGUUGCUAGUGCACAAGCAUAUGCCAUUGUGACAUGUAUAAACCUAACACUGCACAAAAAGGUUUACAAAUUUCAAUGCGGUUAUAUACAAUCUUAAAAUUUAAGCGCAUUUGUUCAAGGACCAAACAGAGGUUUGUCUGGGAUUUGUCCUCACAACCUUCUGGUCACUAUUGUAAAGCCUAAUGCCCUUUUGACAUAAAGUAAGAAACAAGGUUUACAAUAUACGUGGAGUAAAUACAGUACAGCUCUUGGAGUUAAGAGAGUUUGUUCAAGGGUAAAACAGAGGCUCACUGGGAUUUGACCUCACAACCUACAGGUCGCUAGUGCAGAGCCAUUUUGCACCAUUUUGACAUAUAUACAUCUAAUACCAUGCAAAAGGGUUACACAUCUCAGCAGGGCUAUGUACAAUCCUAGGACUUAGGGGGGUUUGUUCAAGGGCUAAACCGAGGUUUCUCUUGGAUCUGACCUCACAGCCGUCUGGUGACUAUUCCGAAGCUUAAUGCCCUUUUGACCCCACACACAAGGUUUACAAUAUAAGGGGGCUAAAUACAAUUUUAUGAGUUAAGAGAGUUUGUUCAAGAGUUAAACAAAGGCCCAAUGGGAUUUGACCUCACAGUCUUAUGGUCACUAUUGCAGAGCCUUAUGUACAUUUGACAUAUAAUAGGUUUACAAUAUAAGUGGGGCUGUAAACAGUCCUAAGAGUUAAGGAAUUUUAUUCAAGGGAAGAACAGAGACACGCUGAGAUUUGAGCUCACAACCUUACGGUCAGUAGUACAGAGCCAUAACCGCUGAGCAGUCACUCCCUUACAAUCUGUAACGACUCCUGCAUUUCUGUCAGUGAGUGAGUAAGCAAAUCAGUGAGAGUCUUUCAGGCACUACAGAUUGUCUGGACAUGCUAGGCUACGUAGACUUACUCUUCUAAUUUCAGUGAAAAAAGGGAGGAGACUUCAACUAUUAAUCUUUUUUUGUUCUCUCUCAAGCUAACCAUUCAAACCGUUUCCCAUCAAUCCUGGUGGUGAGCAUUCCAUUUAUUUCCAGAGUGAAAGUAAAGAUGUAGACGUCCCUGUUGCGGACAGAGCGGUUGUAUUUGAGAUUUACGGCUAGAACGACGGCGCAUGUGUUAUGGAAAACAGAUAUACAGGGAGACGAGAGUGGCACUGGAUGAAUGUAUCUCCAGGGCAUAGCUGCCAGAGCUGAGCAUCAGCUACUGAAGAAGCACUUAAUAAAAAACACAUACACACACACACACACACACACACACACACACACACACAGAGGCAGCUAUUGGGUCUGUCCUAACCUGCACAGCUAUCGCACAAACUGAAAAUAAAGAUAAAAAACAAAUGUUACACAUGUGCCACUUCCUAACCUAAUAUCAGAUAUCAGGUGUUAAAAAAGGCUGUAAAAGUAGGAGAGGAUGAAAGCUUGAGAAUGAAGGCCAUUAAUGGGAAGCAUUCUCAUUCACUGCAGUGAUAAUGUUAUCCAGAGCAGGUCUCAGAACUGGGUCUGGACUUUCUCUUCCUUUGGACAGGAGAAAACAAAAAAAGAGCGGGAGAGAAAGAGAGAGAGAGAGCAGGGCCACCCAAACCUGUAAGAUCUACACGAUGAUGUCUGAUAGUCCCUUCACACGGUGGCUCUGGUGCUUGAUCUGAAAAUUCCAAAUAUCAGAAACACGUGUGCUGAGUUGCAACAGCAUUCCUGCACUGAUUGUGAAUCGAUAAGCUUGUGCAACUAAUUUCCUUUUCUGUGCUGUAAUUCCCCCGCCUUGUUCGGAGAGAAUGUUGAACUUGGCCUUUUUCCACAGGGUGUGUUGAUGAGUGGGAUGCUGCUAAUCCACACUGAUGCUGAACAAGGGAUCACAGAUAUAUCAUUGUUUAAUCAAGGCUUUGUUUCAUCAUGACCAUGUUACACUCCGUCAUUAAAAAAAAAAAAGAAAAAGCAUUUUCCAAGCGUAUAUUUGCAACUUCUUUAUCGAGCUUUUAGCUUACGCUAAUAAUCAUUUAUAUUGCACACACACUGGGCCUCACUGAUCGAGCCGGAUAUGAAGGAAUUUAUUCAUGAAUCGAUCACAGAAGCUUUCACACAAGAAAUGUGGUGUUCAUGAAAAUCCAGUUAGUUGGGAGGAAAACAUUCCCGUCCUACGUUUCCCUCCUAUAAAGGAGACUCAUUUGAUCAGCUUCGAAUCAUUUAAUCGGCAACAAGUUACUGCGAUUUUAUAUACGGACUAUGCUGUUUGAAGUUGAAAUGGCUUAUUGUUUCGAGACACUCGGGCGUUUCAUAUGAACGACUUGCAAGAAAGCACUCUUUAGUUGUAAUUUCUGUUGUGUUCAGAUUCUGUAAUGGGGGCUUUUAUGGGGUUUUGUGGGCAUCACUACAUGAGUAAAACAUAUUUAGUUUCAGUUUGGUCACAAAAAAACGUUUAACGCAUUGCCAUCAGUACUUCUGCAUGCUAUCUGGAAGGCACCAGAAGGAUACCAGUCUUGAAAGGUUCCUUACACUUCACUCAUUGCAGGCAGCAAAUUUUGAUGCCUCAGAUGAGGGAGGAAUUAAAGGGAAAAACAGACCUUAACUAACAUUAUUUUUCAUUUGGGUUUGGGUCCCUGUAAGGGGAAGAGUCACGGCAAAGCAAAACAACAUUCUUCUAACCGAUUCCCUAAAACACCUACAGUAUGGGAUAUUUUGGAGCACUGUGUUACACAGGGAAUUCCACCAUCAUGAUCAAAACAUCAAUUGAGGGAAUUCGUUUUUAAAGUACAACAUGUUAAAGAGAGAAGAAGAAGCCUUUAUUUUUCACAUAUACAUUAGAGAGCACUGAAAUUCUUUUCUUAACGUAUAAAAGCUUGUUAGGAAGCUGGAGUCGGAGCACAGGGUACAGCACCCCUGGAGCAGAGAGGGUUAAGGGCCUUGCAGUGGCAGCUUGGUAGUGCUGGGGCUUAAACCCUUGAUCUUCUGAUCAGUAACCCAGAACUUUAACCAUCGAGCCACCAUUGCCCUCGUUGAGCCACCACUGCCCUAAAGGUAUCACAUCACUGUCUUAAAGGUAUCACACCACUGCCCUAAAGGUAUCACACCACUGUCUUAAAAGUAUCACACCACUGCCCUAAAAGUAUCACACCACUGCCCUAAAAGUAUCACACCACUGCCCUAAAUGUAUCACAAGAAUGCCCUAAAGGUAUCACACCCCUGCCCUAAAAGUAUCGCAUCACUGCCCUAAAACUAUCACACCACUGCUCUAAAGGUAUCACACCAGAGAUUUGUAAACUCUAUGCAAGGUGCACUGGAGCUGUUCUGUUGCCUCAAGGUGGGCCAUCACCUUACUAACACACUUUAUCAGUCCCUCUAGGAUCUCGCGAUCGCAUAAAUUAACACAAAAUCAAGCAAACUCCGCAAUAUUCUGAGGCGCUUGCGAUUUUUCAAAAUUACAGCAGAUUUGGGCCAAGAUGCGUACUAUAACUUCAUCACAACGCAAAUUCAGCCAAAGCCCUCUUCGAUUCACGUGCAUCGAAAGAGUACAGCUAAAAGGUCUCGUUUAACAACAGACAUCACUGCGAAAGUCCGUGUGAAACUAUUUUUUGCAACUGCAAUUUCGCCAGUUCGAGUAGUUUUCAACACAACAAAGCACAAAAAACUCUGCAAGUUGUAUCACAAAUUUUUUAACAAGCCACAACAAAAACAAGCGAUUUUGGCAGGAACAAUCACCAAAAAAAAACUGCUUUAUGUGGUUUAUCAUUGAAUUUGAUAAAAGCAUAUGUUCGGUUUUUAGCCUCAGUCACGAGCUAGCUUAUUCUCAGCGUCCAUAUUUCUCCACAACAGUGUUGUCACAGUAUUAACCGCUUAAAUCAAAGUGCGUUGUACCGAAAGCGAAGACUGUUAAACUGAGAUAUUGUUAAUGUUUGGGUUUAUAUAUGGCUGCGAUAGUCGGUGUUCCUGGUGUUACACGGCGUUCGGUCGCACACCGAUUACAUCACUUGCCCACCGCGGUACUGUUGCUUUGCUUUUUAAUAGUAAUAAAAAUCAUUUCGUUCAGUUAGAGAGCAGACUCUACGAUUAAAAACCGAACACGUCUUCUCAAUUCCCCUGCUCCAAACGAGUCAGCAGCGUAGAUCAGCAGGAGUCAGGUUUCAUUCAUCACGUGAUGAGAGUGAGGCGAGCUGACUGACAAGACGAUGGUGGAAGCUUUGGUUUAAUAUAAGAGAGUUUCUCAUUGUACUGUUUUGUUGUUGUUGCGUUUUUCAUUAAGAAUAAUGAACCCACCAUUCAAGCAAUUCAACAUCAACAGGAACUGUCAGUGUGUGGUGUGGCCACCAGUACUACAUCUCAUCCUCAUGGACUGCACCAGAUUGGUCAGUUCUUGCUGUGAGAUGUUCCUCCACUCUUCCACCAAGGCAUCUGCAAGUUCUCCAUCACGUCUGGGGGACACAUGUUUGCAUGUAAUUUUCCAUCCGCUGUACUUCCUGUCUCCUUGUAGCACCGUCUCAGGCAUCUUACAUUACAGACAUUGCAGUGUAUUGCUCUGGCCACAUCUGCAGUCCUCAUGUCUCCCUGCAGCAGGUCUAUGGCAUGUUCACGCAGGUGCAUGUGCAAUAAUUGUUUACGGUUAAUCGAACAAUCAUGAAGAACAUCGUUUAAACCCUUUCCAAUAAAGAUCUGUAAAGCUUAUUUGGAUUUUACAAUACAGUCUCCUGAAAAAGGGACGUUUCUUUUUUAUUUACAGGCCUAAAUGUUUUUCUUGUGAACGUACAGAUGAGCUGCAUGCCUGACAGGUGGCAGCGAGUCGAAUGUGAGUUGUGUAAUUGGAAAGUGAGUCUUCGCGAUGGCUGACGUGCCUGAUUUAUGUGUGUUGUUAACUGCACAGGGGGGAAAGUGUUCUUUUCAAAAGGGAACUUGAUGAGUGUGGGUGAACGCGUGUGUCUGUGUGUGUGUGUGUGAGCACUUGAUGAACACACGUGCAGGUGAUGGACUGGGAGGAGGUCGGAGACAGUAGCACUUUAUCUCCAUAACGCUCCAUUUGCUGUGAUAAUGCGCUCGACUGGGUCUGCUAGCCAGGCACAACAAAACAGCUUGGCUCUGUGUGCUUUAUACUCAAACACACACACACACACACCCUCAGAGUCCAUUACUCUUAAACCCUGCACACCCGCAUACAUAUACACAUAAACAAGCUCUCUUUUGUGUCCUAUCUCACUGCUAGCCUUUUAACGCAAACGUGAAAUCGACACUUGGUAUCUCCUUAUCUUACACACUCGCCUUACUCAAACUCUCUCUCUUUCACACACACACACACACACACACACACACACACACACACACACACACACAGUGCCGUCUAAGCCAGCUAAUACUAUCCCCAUAACAACCACAAGCUCACAGGCAAAUGCACCAUAUUACAAACAUGAGGCCUAGCACAGAUCCUCAAGGUCCUCAUCAUGAGAUUAAACAAGCACUGUGCUUUGGUCUCCAGACUCUACCAUAACUGUUUAUAACACAAGCGGAAUUUCGUGCAAGAGAAUCAUUUGAGCACGAUCGUCCUCUUGUUUGAUCAAUGCGAGCAUGACAUUUCCUAAAGUAAACACAAACUCUAUUAAUUGUCGACUUGACAAACCCUCAGAACUCACAGCUCCAUGAAGGGCACGAUGGAGCGAUGGAGUGGCAGGAACAUUUACCACUCAGUAAAAAAUGUUCAAACUGAUUCCUGAAAUUUUUUAACCGUAAAACUUAGUGCAUCUCCAACUUGUUCUGACCGAACCUUACUGUGCUUUUAACAUGCUGCCCACUGUGCAGUGUUGAUCAUGUAUAGA